Molecule: long non-coding RNA, 318 nt
Filed under: Callithrix jacchus (white-tufted-ear marmoset)
Lineage: Eukaryota; Metazoa; Chordata; Mammalia; Primates; Cebidae
Description: lncRNA (ENSCJAG00000072397.1)
Source: RNAcentral
GCGGGAGUGCAAUGGAACAAUCUCGGCUCACCACAACCUCUGCAUCCCUGGUUCAAGUGACUCUCCUGUCUCAGCCUCCUGAGUAGCAAGAAUUACAAAUGCUGACAUCGUUUUAUGAAUGCAAACAGUCAAGGAGAGCAGAUGUUGAGUGGUUGCCAGAGUGAAAUGAGGAAGCCCUGCUGCCAGCUUCCCACCAAAAAGCAGGCUCCAGCCCUGAACGCCGCAGAAUUGCUAAAGAAGUUGCUAACGGAGGCUGGAGAGAGUCCGCAAGCUAAUAGCUUCCUUCAAAAUGGAAUAGGAAACAGAAAGCAUGAAUAA